UACGUAGGGACCAAGCGUUGUUCGGAUUUACUGGGCGUAAAGGGCGCGUAGGCGGCAAUUCAAGUCAUCUGUGAAAUCUCCGGGCUUAACCCGGAACGGUCAGGUGAUACUGUUUUGCUAGAGUGCGGAAGGGGCAAUCGGAAUUCCUGGUGUAGCGGUGAAAUGCGCAGAUAUCAGGAGGAACACCGGUGGCGAAGGCGGGUCUCUGGGCCGAUACUGACGCUGAGGAGCGAAAGCGUGGGGAGCGAACAGG
RNAcentral lists this ribosomal RNA (253 nucleotides) under uncultured bacterium. RNAcentral describes it as "partial 16S ribosomal RNA". It matches the Rfam family "Bacterial small subunit ribosomal RNA", at positions 524 to 776 of the family's 1533-position model. The record is from RNAcentral.